Molecule: ribosomal RNA, 389 nt
Filed under: Choanoflagellata sp.
Lineage: Eukaryota; Choanoflagellata
Description: partial small subunit ribosomal RNA
Rfam family: Eukaryotic small subunit ribosomal RNA
Source: RNAcentral
AUUCCAGCUCCAAUAGCGUAUAUUAAAGUUGUUGCAGUUAAAAAGCUCGUAGUUGGAUUUCUGUUCUCGAGGAUCGGUCCGCCUCACGGUGAGCACUGGUUUUUCUUGGGGACAUCCUCUCGAAGGCGGGUGGUGCACUUAAUUGUGUGCUGCUUGGAUUCGGGACCUUUACUUUGAAAAAAUUAGAGUGUUCAAAGCAGGCGUCGGCUUGAAUACAUUAGCAUGGAAUAAUGGAAUAGGACUUUGGUUCUAUUUUGUUGGUUUCUAGGACCGAAGUAAUGAUUGAUAGGGACAGUUGGGGGCAUUAGUAUUUAAUUGUCAGAGGUGAAAUUCUUGGAUUUAUGAAAGACUAACUACUGCGAAAGCAUUUGCCAAGGAUGUUUUCAUUG